RNAcentral lists this antisense RNA (75 nucleotides) under Streptomyces sp. CB00316. Its description in RNAcentral is "ASpks sRNA". It matches the Rfam family "ASpks TB sRNA". RNAcentral also lists the same sequence under 1 other name. Lineage: Bacteria; Bacillati; Actinomycetota; Actinomycetes; Kitasatosporales; Streptomycetaceae. The record is from RNAcentral.
CUUCACCGAUCCGAGGAGCAGGGGGCGUUCGGCGUCCCGGUCCUGCCCGUAGGCGGUGAGCAGGGCCUGUGCCUC